Molecule: long non-coding RNA, 584 nt
Filed under: Rattus norvegicus (Norway rat)
Lineage: Eukaryota; Metazoa; Chordata; Mammalia; Rodentia; Muridae
Description: long non-coding RNA NONRATT029155
Source: RNAcentral
GCAGGUUUCCUGGGGCCCCACCCUUGCUGUCCUAUCCUCCACACCUGCCAUCCUCGGGUGGCCACAGUCCCUACCAAAGGGGCUGAUCCCCAGACGUCUCGGCAAGUUCCAGGCUCUGUCCUAAGAAUGUUAUUCUAAACUUACAGCAUCCACUGAACAAAGUACUACGUGAGAGCCCUUUGAAGGAGGAGGAAACUGAGUUAACAAAGGUGCUUUGUCCGCCAGGUGUUAGAACUAAAUAUCAGGAACGAUGAACUUAAAAUCCAAGAAAACAGGAUGUCGAAGCCAAAAGGCCUCGCCACUUGGCUGCCCGACCUCGUGCAAGGUCAAACCUAAGGCAACCGCGGCAGAAAGUCUGUUUGCCUUCAAGAAACAAAGUCAUCCUCAAGCCAGCCACGACCCCUCCCCCAGCCUGGCCGCUGUGGGUGGGGGGACCAAAGCCCAUUCCCAGUUCUCCCUGGUCGCCCGGCUGGCCCCUUCUCCUGACCCCUUUCCCAAGCGCAGGAUCCGCCUGGUCCUUUCGCCUUGCUCACGGGGUCGUCUGUGUGCACUGGCUAGUUUAGAAAAAUAAACACCGUUCCAAA